Molecule: ribosomal RNA, 1329 nt
Filed under: human oral metagenome
Description: bacterial LSU rRNA
Rfam family: Bacterial large subunit ribosomal RNA
Source: RNAcentral
CUAAGGCGAGGCCGACAGGCGUAGUCGAUGGAUGACGGGUUGAUAUUCCCGUACCCGUGUGCGUGCGACAAGUGAUGAAUCUUAUGGUACUAACCACCCGCCUGUUUCCGCCGGUCUUUUUGGUUGGUGGUUUCAGGUGCGUGGGAUCUUCGUGGGUAGUAGUCAAGUGAUGGGGUGACGCAGAGUGGUAGCUAGGCUUCCUUAUUGGAUUGGAGUGCAAGCGUGUGGCCUGUGGGGUUGGGAAAUCCGCCCCGCGUAUAAGGGUGAGGCGUGAUGCGGACACCAUGUUGUGGUGGUAGUUAGUGUGCCUGUGCUGUCUAGAAAAGCCUCUAGCGAGUGCGUGCAUGGCCCGUACCGGAAACCGACACAGGUGGUCAGGUAGAGAAUACUAAGGCGUUCGGGUGAACUGUGGUUAAGGAACUCGGCAAAAUGCCCCCGUAACUUCGGGAGAAGGGGGACCAUUACUAGUUGCUGACAGCAUGAUGGCUGGUGGUGGUCGCAGAGGAGAGAGGGAAGCGACUGUUUAUUAAAAACACAGGUCCGUGCGAAAACGUGGAAGUUGAGGUAUACGGACUGACGCCUGCCCGGUGCUGGAAGGUUAAGAGGACCCGUGAGUGCGCCUUUAUGGUGUGCGAGGCGGAGAAUUGAAGCCCCAGUAAACGGCGGUGGUAACUAUAACCAUCCUAAGGUAGCGAAAUUCCUUGUCGGGUAAGUUCCGACCUGCACGAAUGGCGUAACGACUUCCCUGCUGUCUCAACCACAGGCCCGGUGAAAUUGCAGUACGAGUAAAGAUGCUCGUUUCGCGCGGCAGGACGAAAAGACCCCGGGACCUUUACUAUAGCUUGGUAUUGGUGUUUGGUCAUGCUUGUGUAGGAUAGGUGGGAGACUGUGAAACCGCAACGCUAGUUGUGGUGGAGUCGCAGGUGAAAUACCACUCUGGUGUGAUUGGGUACCUGAACCUUGGCCCGUGAUCCGGGUUGGGGACAGUGCCUGGUGGGUAGUUUAACUGGGGCGGUUGCCUCCUAAAUGGUAACGGAGGCGCCCAAAGGUUUCCUCAGUCUGGUUGGCAAUCAGAUGGUGAGUGUAAGUGUAUAAGGGAGCUUGACUGUGACACUGACGGGUGGAGCAGGUGCGAAAGCAGGGACUAGUGAUCCGGCAUCGACGUGUGGUUGUGGUGUCGCUCAACGGAUAAAAGGUACCCCGGGGAUAACAGGCUGAUCUUCCCCAAGAGUUCAUAUCGACGGGAUGGUUUGGCACCUCGAUGUCGGCUCGUCGCAUCCUGGGGCUGGAGUAGGUCCCAAGGGUUGGGCUGUUCGCCCAUUAAAGCGG